Molecule: ribosomal RNA, 272 nt
Filed under: Escherichia coli
Lineage: Bacteria; Pseudomonadati; Pseudomonadota; Gammaproteobacteria; Enterobacterales; Enterobacteriaceae
Description: partial 16S ribosomal RNA
Rfam family: Bacterial small subunit ribosomal RNA
Source: RNAcentral
AAAUUGAAGAGUUUGAUCAUGGCUCAGAUUGAACGCUGGCGGCAGGCCUAACACAUGCAAGUCGAACGGUAACAGGAAGCAGCUUGCUGCUUCGCUGACGAGUGGCGGACGGGUGAGUAAUGUCUGGGAAACUGCCUGAUGGAGGGGGGUAACUACUGGAAACGGUAGCUAAUACCGCAUAAUGUCGCAAGACCAAAGAGGGGGACCUUCGGGCCUCUUGCCAUCGGAUGUGCCCAGAUGGGAUUAGCUUGUUGGUGGGGUAACGGCUCACC